GAUGAACGCUGGCGGCGUGCCUAAUACAUGCAAGUCGAGCGAACGGACGAGAAGCUUGCUUUUCUGAUGUUAGCGGCGGACGGGUGAGUAAAACGUGGAUAACCUACCUAUAAGACUGGGAUAACUUAGGGAAACCGGAGCUAAUACCGGAUAAUAUUUUGAACCGCAUGGUUCAAAAGUGAAAGACGGUCUUGCUGUCACUUAUAGAUGGAUCCGCGCUGCAUUAGCUAGUUGGUAAGGUAACGGCUUACCAAGGCAACGAUGCAUAGCCGACCUGAGAGGGUGAUCGGCCACACUGGAACUGAGACACGGUCCAGACUCCUACGGGAGGCAGCAGUAGGGAAUCUUCCGCAAUGGGCGAAAGCCUGACGGAGCAACGCCGCGUGAGUGAUGAAGGUCUUCGGAUCGUAAAACUCUGUUAUUAGGGAAGAACAUAUGUGUAAGUAACUGUGCACAUCUUGACGUUACCUAAUCAGAAAGCCACGGCUAACUACGUG
This 497-nucleotide ribosomal RNA is filed under the name uncultured bacterium. RNAcentral's name for it is "partial 16S ribosomal RNA". It matches the Rfam family "Bacterial small subunit ribosomal RNA", at positions 28 to 507 of the family's 1533-position model. The record is from RNAcentral.